AAAUGUGCGUUGAUUGGGAAUAGUACGCAUACUUCAUGUGAAAAGAGAGUGGUCUCACCGGCUGAGAGGACCAUCACCCCUGUUGUAGCGGAACCUGCCCUUGAGCAGUCUGGUAAAAGCCUGACCGUCUCAUCCACGAUACGGAUGUUAGAGCGGGCAUAAUUUUAUGCCAAUCAAGGUGGUACCGCGGAUGUAACCCUUCCGUCCUUAUU
Molecule: non-coding RNA, 212 nt
Filed under: Alkalihalophilus pseudofirmus
Lineage: Bacteria; Bacillati; Bacillota; Bacilli; Caryophanales; Bacillaceae
Description: Bacillus pseudofirmus T-box sequence
Rfam family: T-box leader
About the family: Uncharged tRNA acts as the effector for transcription antitermination of genes in the T-box leader family. T-boxes are found upstream of many aminoacyl-tRNA synthetase genes and some amino acid biosynthetic genes usually in Gram-positive bacteria.
Source: RNAcentral